RNAcentral lists this unclassified non-coding RNA (245 nucleotides) under plant metagenome. Its description in RNAcentral is "partial contains small subunit ribosomal RNA, internal transcribed spacer 1, and 5.8S ribosomal RNA". The record is from RNAcentral.
UCUCCGUUGGUGAACCAGCGGAGGGAUCAUUACCGAGUUUACAACUCCCAAACCCAAUGUGAACGUUACCAAACUGUUGCCUCGGCGGGGUCACGCCCCGGGUGCGUCGCAGCCCCGGAACCAGGCGCCCGCCGGAGGAACCAACCAAACUCUUUCUGUAGUCCCCUCGCGGACGUUAUUUCUUACAGCUCUGAGCAAAAAUUCAAAAUGAAUCAAAACUUUCAACAACGGAUCUCUUGGCUCUG